Molecule: ribosomal RNA, 433 nt
Filed under: uncultured bacterium
Lineage: Bacteria
Description: partial 16S ribosomal RNA
Rfam family: Bacterial small subunit ribosomal RNA
Source: RNAcentral
AGCGAACGCUGGCGGCAGGCCUAACACAUGCAAGUCGAACGGAUCCUUCGGGAUUAGUGGCGGACGGGUGAGUAACACGUGGGAACGUGCCCUUUGGUUCGGAACAACUCAGGGAAACUUGAGCUAAUACCGGAUGUGCCCUUCGGGGGAAAGAUUUAUCGCCCUUGGAGCGGCCCGCGUCUGAUUAGCUAGUUGGUGAGGUAACGGCCCACCAAGGCGACGAUCAGUAGCUGGUCUGAGAGGAUGAUCAGCCACACUGGGACUGAGACACGGCCCAGACUCCUACGGGAGGCAGCAGUGGGGAAUCUUGCGCAAUGGGCGAAAGCCUGACGCAGCCAGGCCGCGUGAAUGAUGAAGGUCUUAGGAUUGUAAAAUUCUUUCAGCGGGGACGAUAAUGACGGUACCCGCAGAAGAAGCUCCGGCUAACUUCGUG